This 550-nucleotide ribosomal RNA is filed under the name uncultured bacterium. RNAcentral's name for it is "bacterial SSU rRNA". It matches the Rfam family "Bacterial small subunit ribosomal RNA", at positions 355 to 896 of the family's 1533-position model. The record is from RNAcentral.
UAGGGAAUCUUCGGCAAUGGACGGAAGUCUGACCGAGCAACGCCGCGUGAGUGAAGAAGGUUUUCGGAUCGUAAAGCUCUGUUGUAAGAGAAGAACGAGUGUGAGAGUGGAAAGUUCACACUGUGACGGUAUCUUACCAGAAAGGGACGGCUAACUACGUGCCAGCAGCCGCGGUAAUACGUAGGUCCCGAGCGUUGUCCGGAUUUAUUGGGCGUAAAGCGAGCGCAGGCGGUUAGAUAAGUCUGAAGUUAAAGGCUGUGGCUUAACCAUAGUAGGCUUUGGAAACUGUUUAACUUGAGUGCAAGAGGGGAGAGUGGAAUUCCAUGUGUAGCGGUGAAAUGCGUAGAUAUAUGGAGGAACACCGGUGGCGAAAGCGGCUCUCUGGCUUGUAACUGACGCUGAGGCUCGAAAGCGUGGGGAGCAAACAGGAUUAGAUACCCUGGUAGCCCACGCUGUAAACGAUGAGUGCUAGGUGUUAGACCCUUUCCGGGGUUUAGUGCCGUAGCUAACGCAUUAAGCACUCCGCCUGGGGAGUACGACCGCAAGGUUG